RNAcentral lists this long non-coding RNA (1100 nucleotides) under Cyanistes caeruleus (blue tit). Its description in RNAcentral is "lncRNA (ENSCCEG00000005927.1)". Lineage: Eukaryota; Metazoa; Chordata; Aves; Passeriformes; Paridae. The record is from RNAcentral.
UUCCCCUCCCCUCCCCUCCUCUCCCCUCCCCUCCUCUCCUCUCCGAAUUUCUUCCUUUCUUUCUUUUUGAGUCCAUUAACAUUUUUCUUAUAGCCUUUCCUUGUAAACAUAGCCAUUUCUAUUCUCUGCCUUUUCUUCUUUUUUAAAAUUUGCUUUCUCUGAACAGGUAAUUUUCGGCCUCUUGGUCCACUUCAUGCAGCGGGUAAACCUCCUUUUGCUGCUCCUGCUCCUCCUCAUGAUGACUCCUUUUGGCUUCGGAUUCAACCGAAAGAAGACAGUACAUGUCCUGCUCCUGCUCCUGAUGGUAGCUUCUCCUGCUCCUGAUGGUAAGUCUCUUUUCAAGCAAUUAGAGUCACUUGGAUGUGGGUUCCUACCCAGCACCUCCCACCAUGCUGCAGAGCUUCUGCAGACAAGUACAACACUUAAAUGUAACCCUAAUGGAGCUAUAAAACUACUGCUAACAUUUUGAAAUAGCCAUUUCUUGCAACCAUAACCAUUUCAGUUCUGUGCAUUGCCAUGUUUUUUAAAAUUUACUUUCUCUAAAGUAAAUUUACUUUCUCUGAACAGACUCUUUUUGGCUUCCUGUUUUACCACAAGCAGCUCGUCCACCUCCUGCUCAUGCUCAUGAUGGUAAUUCUGCCUUUCAAGCAAUUAUAGUCACUUGGAUGUGGCUUUAGAGUCAACAUCUGCCUUCAUGCUGAAAUGCCUCUGUAGACAAGCACAAUAAUACUUAAUUGCAAACGUUAUGAAGGAGAAAAACUGGUGCUAGCAGAAACGUUGUGUGACUUUUCACAGAAAAGAAAGUAGAUGGUGAAAGCUAACAUAGGGAUUAAAGUUACUACUGUAUUAUUUUUUUCCUAUUCAUCUAUUUACCUGGAUUUAAUUGAUUUAAGUUUGGGUUUGGUUGUUUGGUUGGAUUCUUUUGAUACUGGGGAGUGGUAAUGCUGAGUGUGUGUGUGUGAGUUUGGUUUAUGAGGGUUUUUGUAAGGUUUUUUAUUUUUCCUGUUUUAAAUUCAUUCUUUCAUUGCUUCUUUUUACCAAAUAUCUUUUUUUUUCUUUCUAAAAAUAAAACAAUAUUAUUUUUUUAAUGGCCUUUAUUU